RNAcentral lists this ribosomal RNA (442 nucleotides) under uncultured bacterium. RNAcentral's name for it is "partial 16S ribosomal RNA". It matches the Rfam family "Bacterial small subunit ribosomal RNA", at positions 338 to 795 of the family's 1533-position model. The record is from RNAcentral.
CCUACGGGAGGCAGCAGUGGGGAAUAUUGGGCAAUGGGCGCAAGCCUGACCCAGCAACGCCGCGUGAAGGAAGAAGGCUUUCGGGUUGUAAACUUCUUUUGUCAGGGAAGAGUAGAAGACGGUACCUGACGCAUCAGCCACGGCUAACUACGUGCCAGCAGCCGCGGUAAUACGUAGGUGGCAAGCGUUGUCCGGAUUUACUGGGUGUAAAGGGCGUGUAGCCGGGUUGACAAGUCAGAUGUGAAAUCCUGCGGCUUAACCGCAGAACUGCAGUUGAAACUGUUGAUCUUGAGUACUGGAGAGGCAGACGGAAUUCCUAGUGUAGCGGUGAAAUGCGUAGAUAUUAGGAGGAACCCCAGUGGCGAAGGCGGUCUGCUGGACAGCAACUGACGGUGAGGCGCGAAAGCGUGGGGAGCAAACAGGAUUAGAUACCCGAGUAGUC